Molecule: long non-coding RNA, 1161 nt
Organism: Tympanuchus pallidicinctus (lesser prairie-chicken)
Lineage: Eukaryota; Metazoa; Chordata; Aves; Galliformes; Phasianidae
Exons: 4
Source: RefSeq, a predicted model, not a curated record
GUUCUCUCACAGGUGCUUCUGAAGUUGCCAUUUGGAAGCAGCAGUUUCUCCUGAAAGGUGGAGAAGGCAACACCAAAGUUCAGAGAGGAGAAGCAGCAUGAGAUCAGUCCUGUGGUGGCUUUGCUUUUUGCUUGAGCGAGGUACGGGUUGGAGUGGGAAACCAUUCCCAACGAGCAGCUUAUCUGCAGGCACCCCGCGUGAGAGAGCUUUCUGAUACAGGCAGGAGCCAUUCUCUGUCAGCUGCCCUUAAUGUGUUUGGGAGCGUUCUCGCACACGUUUCAUUUAUUAGUCAGCCAUGUAUUCAUCCUCCCUCCAAAGGACGUGAACUCAGAACUGCGGAGGAGGCGAACGAUCUGCAGGGGUCUGCUCCAUGCGUUGGUGCCUGUGAUGUGGGUCAGUGCAGUGAAAGCUCCUGGAGUGCAGAGCAGCCAGAUGAAUUUGGGAUAGCUGCGUAGGGAUAGUCCAAGAAUAAGGACAAUGUCCAACAGCACUGGGAGCUGGAUGCAGACAUCUGAGACUGCCGUAUGUGCGGCCAGGCCUGACUUCCAAGUUAGCCUCAGCUAACUUCAGAAAAUGAAACAAACACGAUUUACUCCCAGAUUUAUUUGAAAACUGUCUUGAGUUUGAUGUCCUUAUCUGAGCUGGGAACCUGGCUCUAACCCAGGACUGCAUCACAACAGUUCUGUCUCAGUGCUGGGCGAUGGGUGAGCUUGAAGCUUCCUGCUCUGGAAGCUACAACAGCCUGAGCCAAGCAGCCCCACAGGGAACCUGCUGAGGGCGCAGAGCUCGUGCUCAGCCCUCACCUCUUCCACACCUCUCCUUCAGCACAAGGCAGAGCACAUCUCCAGCCUGCAGAUCUCCAGGUGAGUCUGGCGUUCUGUUAGCACUGCUGCUGCCCAGGGAUGUCUGUUUGAUCUGCUGGGUCUGAGAGGCUCAAGGAAAGGAAGCACAGCUGGCACUGGUGCCUGCCCAGGCCAGGCAGUGUUUGGUGUUGGUGCUGUUACCUCUGCUGCUGCUCUAGGUAAAUAUAUUGUCACCUGGGAAACUGUCACAAGGGAAAUGACAAUCUGAACGAGUUGUGUGUGUGCGUUUGCAUAGCAGAGUUUCUGCCUGUUGUAGUGUUUAAAUUAGACUGCUUUGAUAAGUCCUGACUUCUCACAC